This 460-nucleotide ribosomal RNA is filed under the name uncultured bacterium. RNAcentral's name for it is "partial 16S ribosomal RNA". It matches the Rfam family "Bacterial small subunit ribosomal RNA", at positions 338 to 795 of the family's 1533-position model. The record is from RNAcentral.
CCUACGGGUGGCAGCAGUGAGGAAUAUUGGUCAAUGGACGAGAGUCUGAACCAGCCAAGUAGCGUGAAGGAUGACUGCCCUAUGGGUUGUAAACUUCUUUUAUAUGGGAAUAAAAUGUUCCACGUGUGGGAUUUUGUAUGUACCAUAUGAAUAAGGAUCGGCUAACUCCGUGCCAGCAGCCGCGGUAAUACGGAGGAUCCGAGCGUUAUCCGGAUUUAUUGGGUUUAAAGGGAGCGUAGGUGGAUGUUUAAGUCAGUUGUGAAAGUUUGCGGCUCAACCGUAAAAUUGCAGUUGAAACUGGCAGUCUUGAGUACAGUAGAGGUGGGCGGAAUUCGUGGUGUAGCGGUGAAAUGCUUAGAUAUCACGAAGAACUCCGAUUGCGAAGGCAGUUCACUGGACUGCAACUGACACUGAGGCUCGAAAGUGUGGGUAUCAAACAGGAUUAGAUACCCCUGUAGUC